This 301-nucleotide ribosomal RNA is filed under the name uncultured bacterium. Its description in RNAcentral is "partial 16S ribosomal RNA". It matches the Rfam family "Bacterial small subunit ribosomal RNA", at positions 509 to 807 of the family's 1533-position model. The record is from RNAcentral.
CAGUAGCCGCGGGAAUACGUAGGGUGCAAGCGUUAAUCGGAAUUACUGGGCGUAAAGCGUGCGCAGGCGGUUAUAUAAGACAGAUGUGAAAUCACCGGGCUCAACCUGGGAACUGCAUUUGUGACUGUAUAGCUAGAGUACGGCAGAGGGGGAUGGAAUUCCGCGUGUAGCAGUGAAAUGCGUAGAUAUGCGGAGGAACACCGAUGGCGAAGGCAAUCCCCUGGGCCUGUACUGACGCUCAUGCACGAAAGCGUGGGGAGCAAACAGGAUUAGAUACCCCCGUAGUCCCUGUCUCUUAUAC